AGGGAAUCUUCCGCAAUGGACGAAAGUCUGACGGAGCAACGCCGCGUGAGUGAAGAAGGUCUUCGGAUCGUAAAACUCUGUUAUCAGGGAAGAACAAGUACCGGAGUCACUGCCGGUACCUUGACGGUACCUGACCAGAAAGCCACGGCUAACUACGUGCCAGCAGCCGCGGUAAUACGUAGGUGGCAAGCGUUGUCCGGAAUUAUUGGGCGUAAAGCGCGCGCAGGCGGUUCUUUAAGUCUGAUGUGAAAUCUUGCGGCCCAACCGUGAGCGGUCAUUGGAAACUGGAGAACUUGAGUGCAGAAGAGAAGAGCGGAAUUCCACGUGUAGCGGUGAAAUGCGUAGAGAUGUGGAGGAACACCAGUGGCGAAGGCGGCUCUUUGGUCUGUAACUGACGCUGAGGCGCGAAAGCGUGGGGAGCGAAC
Molecule: ribosomal RNA, 425 nt
Filed under: uncultured bacterium
Lineage: Bacteria
Description: bacterial SSU rRNA
Rfam family: Bacterial small subunit ribosomal RNA
Source: RNAcentral